This 75-nucleotide transfer RNA is filed under the name Actinomycetota bacterium. RNAcentral's name for it is "Actinobacteria bacterium tRNA-OTHER". It matches the Rfam family "tRNA". From Rfam's summary of the family: Transfer RNA (tRNA) molecules are approximately 80 nucleotides in length. Their secondary structure includes four short double-helical elements and three loops (D, anti-codon, and T loops). Further hydrogen bonds mediate the characteristic L-shaped molecular structure. tRNAs have two regions of fundamental functional importance: the anti-codon, which is responsible for specific mRNA codon recognition, and the 3' end, to which the tRNAs corresponding amino acid is attached (by aminoacyl-tRNA synthetases). tRNAs cope with the degeneracy of the genetic code in two manners: having more than one tRNA (with a specific anti-codon) for a particular amino acid; and 'wobble' base-pairing, i.e. permitting non-standard base-pairing at the 3rd anti-codon position. The record is from RNAcentral. Lineage: Bacteria; Bacillati; Actinomycetota.
GCCUCGAUGGUGUAACGGCAGCACGCUGGACUCGUCACCCCAGAAGCGCCGGUUCGACUCCGGCUCGUGGCUCCG